Long non-coding RNA from Podarcis raffonei (Aeolian wall lizard), 1203 nucleotides. RefSeq lists it as uncharacterized. The record is from RefSeq and is a predicted model, not a curated record. NCBI's taxonomy places the organism in Eukaryota, Metazoa, Chordata, Lepidosauria, Squamata, Lacertidae. The transcript is spliced from 3 exons.
UCGAAGGGGUUGGAGGCGAAGAGAGGCAUGGUGGCUAUUAUAAUAAUGGCGGCGAACGGCGAACCCUCCGGGGCGCUCGGGCCCGGCUGCUGCCCCCAGGUUUAUCCCAGCGUCGCCGUUUCCGAAGGGAGGAGACGAAGAGAGGAAGGAACAGGCAGGCAGUUCGUUGGGCACCCUGCGACUGUUGGUCCUUGAACAGAAGACCCAUCUCGCAGAGCCUCACGGAUCGGUUUGAUAGAACCUCCAAAGCUGCACAAAGGAAGGAAAGGAGAGACUGUUCCAUCUGGCAACCCCAAAUAUUUCCCAUGGCGGAUUGAUUGCCUUAGCACAAUGUUGAAUUCCACCCACUGCUAUUUUUAAUGAAUGCUUUAUACCAUUUCAUGUAAACUGUUUAGAGCAUAUGCAUUUAUAGUAGUGCAUAAAUCUUGCUAAGCUUUAUAUAGUUUCAUUUCACAGAUCCAAGAACAUGCAUUCAUAGCCAUGCAUCCAUUUCUGGAGAGGGCUUGGCUAUGAGCUUAAAUGUAAUACCUGUGAGAACAUGAUACCUAACCGUAUGUGAAAGCGGGCGAGCAUGUCUAAGAAUCCCAAUGCCUUUCUGAAUGAUCUGGAGGACUUUGAUCCAAACCUAAACAUGUUUAAUGUUACAGCUUUCAGCUUAAGCCCUGCUGUGAAGGUUUGACAGAGCUACAGGAUUUGCAGAAGUAUUACCGGAGUCUAUGUCAACAAAAGUUUGAUUACUUGUCUCUAACUAGCAGGCUUAUUCACUCAACAGCCAGUUACAGAGCUAGUUGUCCUGCAUCUUGUUACACGCACUUAACAUGUGGUAAAUAAGCAACACAAAUCAUGAAUCUGCUUGGGCAUGGAAUCAGCUAUGGCAAAGGAGAAGAAAACUGUUCAUGGAAAGAAAAUAUUGGCUACACAGGGCACUUUUUCUGCCCAAGAGUCGCUGAUGAAAAUGACAACUGUACCAGCAAGGGCAGCAGUAUUCACUUCCACAUUAGUGAAUUCCUGGGCUUUAGAUCCAGUAAUGGUAUUUUUAAAAUUAUAUUAUGCUCUCUAACUUUAAUAAAUAGUGCUGUUGGCGUCCAGUUUAUUAAAAACAUCCAUCCUUAUUUCUUUGACUUGUUAGUCUCUCUGCACAAAAAUGUGUUCAUUGUCAUUUCUGUAUUUCAGAUUCCAAUAAAAUUACAUUUGUUUGAGUGA